This 724-nucleotide ribosomal RNA is filed under the name gamma proteobacterium IMCC14561. Its description in RNAcentral is "bacterial SSU rRNA". It matches the Rfam family "Bacterial small subunit ribosomal RNA", at positions 28 to 749 of the family's 1533-position model. Lineage: Bacteria; Pseudomonadati; Pseudomonadota; Gammaproteobacteria. The record is from RNAcentral.
AUUGAACGCUGGCGGCAGGCCUAACACAUUCAAGUCGAGCGAGAAAGCAGUUCGGUGUGAGUAGAGCGGCGGACGGGUGAGUAAUGCUUGGGAAUCUGCCCAGUAGUGGGGGAUAACGUGUGGAAACGCACGCUAAUCCCGCAUACGUCCUACGGGAGAAAGCAGGGGAUCUUCGGACCUUGCGCUAUUGGAUGAGCCCAAGUCGGAUUAGCUAGUUGGUGGGGUAAUGGCCUACCAAGGCGACGAUCCGUAGCUGGUCUGAGAGGAUGAUCAGCCACACUGGGACUGAGACACGGCCCAGACUCCUACGGGAGGCAGCAGUGGGGAAUAUUGCACAAUGGGGGAAAGCCUGAUGCAGCCAUGCCGCGUGUGUGAAGAAGGCUCUAGGGUUGUAAAGCACUUUCAGUAGGGAGGAAAUGUUGUUGAUUAAUACUCAACAAUAUUGACGUUACCUACAGAAGAAGCACCGGCAAACUCCGUGCCAGCAGCCGCGGUAAUACGGAGGGUGCGAGCGUUAAUCGGAAUUACUGGGCGUAAAGCGCGCGUAGGUGGUUUGAUAAGUUAGCUGUGAAAGCCCCGGGCUUAACCUGGGAACUGCAGUUAGAACUGUCUGACUAGAGUACAGUAGAGGGUGGCGGAAUUUCCUGUGUAGCGGUGAAAUGCGUAGAUAUAGGAAGGAACAUCAGUGGCGAAGGCGGCCACCUGGACCUGAUACUGACACUGA